RNAcentral lists this ribosomal RNA (253 nucleotides) under uncultured bacterium. Its description in RNAcentral is "partial 16S ribosomal RNA". It matches the Rfam family "Bacterial small subunit ribosomal RNA", at positions 524 to 776 of the family's 1533-position model. The record is from RNAcentral.
UACGUAGGGCGCAAGCGUUGUCCGGAAUUACUGGGCGUAAAGGGUGCGUAGGUGGUCGUUUAAGUCCGUUGUGAAAUCCCUGGGCUCAACCUGGGAAUGGCAGUGGAUACUGGACGGCUAGAAUGCGGUAGAGGGUAGUGGAAUUCCCGGUGUAGCAGUGAAAUGCGUAGAGAUCGGGAGGAACACCAGUGGCGAAGGCGGCUACCUGGACCAGCAUUGACACUCAAGCACGAAAGCGUGGGGAGCAAACAGG